Long non-coding RNA from Cygnus olor (mute swan), 2165 nucleotides. RefSeq lists it as uncharacterized. Lineage: Eukaryota; Metazoa; Chordata; Aves; Anseriformes; Anatidae. The transcript has 3 exons. The record is from RefSeq and is a predicted model, not a curated record.
CCUCCACAUAAGUCUUACUGCACUCACACACCAAGUAUUAGCACAUGUAUACACUUUCUAUUCAAUAAAGUUGCUAUGCAACACUCUGCAACAGACUCCUUCACUUCCGUACAGUGUGCUCAGCUGAAGUAAUCUGCUUCCAAAUGAUGAAUCAGUUACUAAAUUGUAAGUGGAAACUGGAAGGCAUCAAACACAAUGCAAAGACUCUUCUUUGCAUAAGACCAACACUACAAGAAGAGUAAACUGAAGAAACAUCUUCUGCUUCAAUGUUGAAAAACAUAAUAACAGAAGUGAAAGAAAUUCAGAUGAUCAGAAAUGACUACAGACUCCCUGCUCAAAAGCAGGCAGAAAUAAAACAAAACCAGCCACCACUCCCCCACUCCCAAACCUUGUGCCUUGCUAUGGGAAGAAGGGAUGAAAGAGCUAGCAGUAACAGCGACGUCUCACCUAGCAACCUGCCACGCAAUUGCAAGAGGACAAUAACAACAAAUGGAGGUGGAAUUUCACCCCAAGCCCAGGACACAGGCAUGCUCAGAGCAGAAAGCAACUGCCUCUGACACACACCCAAAGGACAAAACCCCAAAAGGCAGCAUUCCUGGGACUAUAGUCAGGAAAGAAAGAGAUAUGUAGGAAUGCUAAUGAAGGUGGAGUUUUAUACUGAUAAAAGGAGCAGACAGACAGCUUCAUGGUCAGGACGCUCAGGGGAAAUUCAAUGGCUUGCGCUCUGCGGAGGUCAGCCAAGAUGAUUGAAAGCCUCCCUAGGGCCUCUGCAUCUACAGAGAGGGUCUCUGAUGGGCCAGUGCUGGUCUCACCUACACCACUCGUCCCCCAGCAUAACUCCUGAAAAUGGGGGGCCGACUCCAGCUGUUGCGGGCUAUAAAUAAAAAUAAAACAAGCCCUCAGAUUUUUGUUAGUCAGGUUUUGCUCCUGAACACCAGGGCCUGGCAAUUAACACGCCUUUGGCAGGCAUCUACAGGAGUCAAUUGGGUAUCAUUCAAGAUGUUCCCACUCAUCGUAAAGGUUAAGUCUGCACUGAUAAGAGGGAUCAGCCUCCAAGCAGUCUCUGAGCGCAGAUUUACAGGACUGCUUUGGAAGCAGGGGAGAAAGGGAGCUGCCAUGCCAUGGUUGGCCAUACAUCCCAGAGGGUUAAGCAAGCCAUGCAUGACCUCCAGGGCAUCCCCCUUGCCUCAGUAUCAGCUUCCAACAGAGAUGCUCUCAUCUUUGUCUCCCCCACGAUGGACAUGUUAAAUGCCAUGUGUAUGGUCAGUGCCCAAAACAGCUGUUUCUCUGCCUGACCCCUUCCUGCCACGCUGGGCACACAGAACUCAACCUCAGCUCCUCAGUCACACCUUGCGGCCCUCUCUGUCCCUGGCUAUUGCCAAGAGACAAAAACACACCCAGCAAGAGGGACACGACCACUUUCUAGAAGGGCUCUGCAUGGAGCCACAGAUCCUGACAUCUGUCUCCAAAUAGGUGUCAUCAUGAAAGUGACUUUGGCACAAAGCAAAAGCAUAUAAGGAGGAGGGAGGAGGACAACUGUGCAAACUUCCUCAGAUCUGGGAAAGAAAAGGGAGAAUCUGAGCUCAAGAUAAGGAUUAAGAGAGCUCUGGCAAGGUCUUAGCCACUGCAGACAGCCUGAUUAAGGAGAUUAUGGGGAAGAGCAGAGAGACUUCCUGCUAUUCUGUGAGACAGAAAAAUGUAUGGAAGAAAUGCUGAAAGUCUCAUGGGGCUGUACGUGGCAGCUGCUGCCUUUGAGCAGGAAAGAGCCAGAAACAUCAGAGUGAGACAGCUAGCUGAGUUCAGAGCUUCUGCAACCCCUGGAGCCCAACGGUAUGCAACCUGCCAGCCAGCUCACCUCCAUCCACUCAGAGACAUCCAAAGCCUGAGCCACCUCUGUCGAUACCUCCCGUGGUUAAAUAAUGAUGGCAAUGCCUGUUUAUUCCCCUCCCAGGCUUGCAAGGAGAGCAAUGCUGACUUGAGAAACAAACAAAAAAAAGAGAGGCAGAGUAAGGGAAGAACCAGAGUUCCUCCACAAUGGGGAAAGAACCUGCACACACCAUGUGGCAGCCUCCACUAGUUUAGUAUCUGAUCCCAGCCCAGAGAACAACACAGCCUUACUGAUCGUGUAUUCACCACGUAUAGCCCAAGCUGGCCAGGUAUGAGAG